AGCCGGGUGGUGUAGCGGCCAAGCAUCACGGGCUUUGGCCCCGUGGACGGCGGUUCAAAUCCGCCCCCGGCUA
This 73-nucleotide transfer RNA is filed under the name Thermoprotei archaeon. RNAcentral's name for it is "tRNA-Gln". It matches the Rfam family "tRNA". Rfam says of the family: Transfer RNA (tRNA) molecules are approximately 80 nucleotides in length. Their secondary structure includes four short double-helical elements and three loops (D, anti-codon, and T loops). Lineage: Archaea; Thermoproteati; Thermoproteota; Thermoprotei. RNAcentral also lists the same sequence under 1 other name. The record is from RNAcentral.